UUGAUCUCAAAUCAGGUAGGACUACCCGCUGAACUUAAGCAUAUCAAUAAGCGGAGGAAAAGAAACUAACAAGGAUUCCCCUAGUAACUGCGAGUGAAGCGGGAAGAGCUCAAAUUUAAAAUCUGGCGUGCCUCUGGUCGUCCGAGUUGUAGUCUGGAGAAGCGUUUUCCGUGUUGGACCGUGUACAAGUCUCUUGGAACAGGGCGUCAUAGAGGGUGAGAAUCCCGUCUUUGACACGGACUACCAAUGCUUUGUGAUGCGCUCUCAAAGAGUCGAGUUGUUUGGGAAUGCAGCUCAAAAUGGGUGGUAAUUCCAUCUAAAGCUAAAUAUAGGCGAGAGACCGAUAGCGAACAAGUACCGUGAGGGAAAGAUGAAA
This 376-nucleotide ribosomal RNA is filed under the name uncultured fungus. RNAcentral's name for it is "eukaryotic LSU rRNA". It matches the Rfam family "Eukaryotic large subunit ribosomal RNA", at positions 1 to 369 of the family's 3401-position model. Lineage: Eukaryota; Fungi. The record is from RNAcentral.